RNAcentral lists this ribosomal RNA (468 nucleotides) under uncultured bacterium. RNAcentral describes it as "partial 16S ribosomal RNA". It matches the Rfam family "Bacterial small subunit ribosomal RNA", at positions 28 to 507 of the family's 1533-position model. The record is from RNAcentral.
GACGAACGCUGGCGGCGUGCUUAACACAUGCAAGUCGAACGGAAAGGCCCUGCUUUUGUGGGGUGCUCGAGUGGCGAACGGGUGAGUAACACGUGAGUAACCUGCCCUUGACUUUGGGAUAACUUCAGGAAACUGGGGCUAAUACCGGAUAGGAGCUCCUGCUGCAUGGUGGGGGUUGGAAGGUUUCGGCGGUUGGGGAUGGACUCGCGGCUUAUCAGCUUGUUGGUGGGGUAGUGGCUUACCAAGGCUUUGACGGGUAGCCGGCCUGAGAGGGUGACCGGCCACAUUGGGACUGAGAUACGGCCCAGACUCCUACGGGAGGCAGCAGUGGGGAAUAUUGCACAAUGGGCGGAAGCCUGAUGCAGCAACGCCGCGUGCUGGAUGACGGCCUUCGGGUUGUAAACCGCUUUCGCCUGUGACGAAGCGUGAGUGACGGUAAUGGGUAAAGAAGCACCGGCUAACUACGUG